RNAcentral lists this ribosomal RNA (449 nucleotides) under uncultured bacterium. RNAcentral's name for it is "partial 16S ribosomal RNA". It matches the Rfam family "Bacterial small subunit ribosomal RNA", at positions 354 to 795 of the family's 1533-position model. The record is from RNAcentral.
GUGGGGAAUUUUGGACAAUGGGCGCAAGCCUGAUCCAGCAAUGCCGCGUGCAGGAAGAAGGCCUUCGGGUUGUAAACUGCUUUUGUACGGAACGAAACGGUCCUGGUUAAUACCUGGGGCUAAUGACGGUACCGUAAGAAUAAGCACCGGCUAACUACGUGCCAGCAGCCGCGGUAAUACGUAGGGUGCGAGCGUUAAUCGGAAUUACUGGGCGUAAAGCGUGCGCAGGCGGUGCUGUAAGACAGGCGUGAAAUCCCCGGGCUCAACCUGGGAAUUGCGCUUGUGACUGCAGUGCUGGAGUACGGCAGAGGGGGAUGGAAUUCCGCGUGUAGCAGUGAAAUGCGUAGAUAUGCGGAGGAACACCGAUGGCGAAGGCAGUCCCCUGGGCCUGUACUGACGCUCAUGCACGAAAGCGUGGGGAGCAAACAGGAUUAGAAACCCUGGUAGUC